AACGCGUGGGAAUCUACCCAUCUCUACGGAAUAACUCAGGGAAACUUGUGCUAAUACCGUAUACGCCCUUCGGGGGAAAGAUUUAUCGGAGAUGGAUGAGCCCGCGUUGGAUUAGCUAGUUGGUGGGGUAAAGGCCUACCAAGGCGACGAUCCAUAGCUGGUCUGAGAGGAUGAUCAGCCACAUUGGGACUGAGACACGGCCCAAACUCCUACGGGAGGCAGCAGUGGGGAAUAUUGGACAAUGGGCGCAAGCCUGAUCCAGCCAUGCCGCGUGAGUGAAGAAGGCCUUUUGGUUGUAAAGCACUUUAAGCGAGGAGGAGGCUACUUGGAUUAAUACUCUAGGAUAGUGGACGUUACUCGCAGAAUAAGCACCGGCUAACUCUGUGCCAGCAGCCGCGGUAAUACAGAGGGUGCGAGCGUUAAUCGGAUUUACUGGGCGUAAAGCGUGCGUAGGCGGCUUAUUAAGUUGGAUGUGAAAUCCCCGAGCUUAACUUGGGAAUUGCAUUCAAGACUGGUAGGCUAGAGUAUGGGAGAGGAUGGUAGAAUUCCAGGUGUAGCGGUGAAAUGCGUAGAGAUCUGGAGG
RNAcentral lists this ribosomal RNA (583 nucleotides) under uncultured bacterium. RNAcentral describes it as "bacterial SSU rRNA". It matches the Rfam family "Bacterial small subunit ribosomal RNA", at positions 112 to 704 of the family's 1533-position model. The record is from RNAcentral.